This 253-nucleotide ribosomal RNA is filed under the name uncultured bacterium. Its description in RNAcentral is "partial 16S ribosomal RNA". It matches the Rfam family "Bacterial small subunit ribosomal RNA", at positions 524 to 776 of the family's 1533-position model. The record is from RNAcentral.
UACAGAGGGUGCGAGCGUUAAUCGGAGUAACUGGGCGUAAAGGGCACGUAGGCGGUUAUAUUAGUCUGAUGUGAAAGACCUGGGCUUAACCUGGGAUGUGCAUUGGAAACGGUAUGGCUAGAGUAUGGGAGAGGGAAGUGGAAUUUCCGGUGUAGCGGUGAAAUGCGUAGAGAUCGGAAAGAACACUCGUGGCGAAGGCGGCUUUCUGGCCCAAAACUGACGCUGAGGUGCGAAAGCUAGGGGAGCAAACGGG